Magallana angulata is the source of this 1245-nucleotide long non-coding RNA. RefSeq lists it as uncharacterized. NCBI's taxonomy places the organism in Eukaryota, Metazoa, Mollusca, Bivalvia, Ostreida, Ostreidae. The record is from RefSeq and is a predicted model, not a curated record. The transcript is spliced from 3 exons.
GAGAAAAACAUUGAGGUAUAUGUAUAAAUCAGAUAUUGAUAAAGUAUGUAUGUAGAACUGCAUUUACGUUAACAUAUAUAAUAUAAGCAAAUGAAAUGAAACUGCAAUGUUUCCGAAUGAUCUACCAAUAACCAGUAUUUCUUUUACAAACACAAAUAAGACUUCCAAAUUCCUCCUUUUCAGUAGCAAUAAGGUAUACGUGUAAAUCAGAUAUUGACAAAAUAUGUAACUAUGUAGAACUGCAUUUGUUAACAUAUUAUAUGAGCAGGUGCAUUGAAAUUGCAAAGUUUCCGAAUGAUCUACCAAAAACCAGUCUUUCUUUUACAAACACAGGUUACACUUCCAAACUCUUCCUUUUUCGGUAGCAGUGUGUAUCCAGUGACGAAUGAAAAGCGGUUAAUUGAUAGCGAAGUGCAUGAUUACUAAGAAGAGGAUACACACUCGUUUUCAAUGCUAUAAAACCUAUUGUGCCUCGUAUUCGAUACAGGUAUCUACUUAUCGGAUAAAUGUUUGACUUGUCAGAAACUGUUCCCCUUAACGAAGACCCAUAGCUAUGUGUCACAAGAUGUCAUUUACUUGUCAGUGUAAAUCAUGACAGGUGUGACAUGAUUAUCAAAAAGAAUUUACCUAAGUCAAAGAAGCUACAGACACGUUUCCGAUGACAAGAACAACCACUUAGUGAAAUUUUGACAGACAGAAGAGAGUGACACCACUGCGUGAAUACAGGAAAGUGACAGUCAAGGUUGAAUGUCGAUCCCGAUCGUAACACGUAACGUGGGGUCGGAUGAAUGAAAAGGUUCAGGUGGCAUUCAGUAGUGCACAUUAUAACGCUCCAACACCAAUCCUUCAUUCUUUUCAUCUCUCGUGACAUUUGGGUACAUUUAUACUGUUCAAGGGUUUAACGCUGGUCAAAAUUAUAUAAAAAAAAAAAAAACUCAGUACUAUUUGUACAAGAAUUUGAGUUUUGUCGUAUUAUUUUUCUUGCUUUGUUUUUUAAAAUGAAGCAUAUAGAAUGUUUGUGUUUGUGAGGCAUUUUGAAGUGAAUGAUGAUUUAUUUUGCUAUUGUGUUAUUGUUUGGUAUGUUUGGAUGGAGAUGAAAAAAUCAUUCUCACAACGAUCGACGAAUACUAGUGUUAUAAUAAACAGGCAAACUUGCAUUUUUUCUAUAAGCUACCUGAUGGUGAGAUUCUAAAACAAUCUUAUGUAACAUGUAAAAGAUAAAUAAAAAAGGAAAAUAAAAAAAAU